AAGAAUCUUUAACAAUUGAAGCUCAAGAAGAGUAAGAUAUAGAGAAGAAAAUUUACCUAAUUGAGCAAAGAUUUUCAGCAAAUUUAAACCCAGAAGAUGAAAAACCAAGGGCGUAGCUCAAUUGAUUGAGAUCUGGAAAAUAGAUCAACAGUAGCAAGAGCCAAGAAUAAUAGUUUUAUGUUGAAAAUGCCAAAUUAGAGUAGCUAAGUGGAAGUACAAAAAGUUACCGAGACUUAAGCUUAAAUAUUUUUGAAACCCAACAAAGUAUACUUUGUUAUACUUGCUCCGGCAUAGUCCGACAAUGUCUUAGAAACACCGACGGUUAUCGGAGUUGGAGUCCGGCGCCAAUCAAUUGUAGUCCUUCAAAGGGCGGGAUA
Molecule: long non-coding RNA, 377 nt
Filed under: Nicotiana tabacum (common tobacco)
Lineage: Eukaryota; Viridiplantae; Streptophyta; Magnoliopsida; Solanales; Solanaceae
Description: long non-coding RNA (NTAB_LNC011086)
Source: RNAcentral